AGAGUUUGAUCAUGGCUAGGAAGAACGCUGGCGGCGUGCUUAAUACAUGCAAGUCGAACGGAGACAGUAGCAAUAUUGUCUUAGUGGCGAACGGGUGAGUAACGCGUUGGUGACCUGCCUCGAAGAGAGGGAUAACAGUUCGAAAGGAUUGCUAAUACCUCAUGUGGUUGCUUGGGUUAGAGACCUUGCAACUAAACGGAUUUAUUCGCUUCGAGAGGGGCCUGCGUCCCAUCAGCUAGUUGGUAGGGUAAUGGCCUACCAAGGCGAUGACGGGUAGGGGACCUGAGAGGGUGGCCCCCCACAAUGGAACUGAAACACGGUCCAUACACCUACGGGUGGCAGCAGUAGGGAAUAUUGGUUAAUCUGGGAAACCGGGAACCAGCAACGCCGCGUGCGCGAUGAAGGCCUUCGGGUUGUAAAGCGCUUUUAGAGAGGAUGAGGAAGGACAGUACUCUCUGAAUAAGCCUCGGCUAACUACGUGCCAGCAGCCGCGGUACUA
Molecule: ribosomal RNA, 499 nt
Filed under: bacterium enrichment culture clone 35
Lineage: Bacteria
Description: bacterial SSU rRNA
Rfam family: Bacterial small subunit ribosomal RNA
Source: RNAcentral